AAGUCGUAACAAGGUUUCCGUAGGUGAACCUGCGGAAGGAUCAUUACCAUAAUAAAAAAUCCUUCAACCCAUGUGCACGAUGAAUAUAAUGUCUUGGUUUUUGGGGGUAAGCAUCAGUUUACCCCCGACCAAUUUCUUUAAACUACUUUUAAAUUAGCUUGGCAUUGUAAUAUGUAAUUAUUAAAAAUGACAACUUUUAACGGUGGAUCUCUUGGCUCGU
This 220-nucleotide unclassified non-coding RNA is filed under the name fungal sp. RNAcentral describes it as "partial internal transcribed spacer region". The stretch from base 1 to 46 matches the Rfam family "Eukaryotic small subunit ribosomal RNA", at positions 1786 to 1831 of the family's 1831-position model. Lineage: Eukaryota; Fungi. The record is from RNAcentral.